GAUGAACGCUGGCGGCGUGCCUAAUACAUGCAAGUCGAGCGAACAGACGAGGAGCUUGCUCCUCUGACGUUAGCGGCGGACGGGUGAGUAACACGUGGAUAACCUACCUAUAAGACUGGGAUAACUUCGGGAAACCGGAGCUAAUACCGGAUAAUAUAUUGAACCGCAUGGUUCAAUAGUGAAAGACGGUUUUGCUGUCACUUAUAGAUGGAUCCGCGCCGCAUUAGCUAGUUGGUAAGGUAACGGCUUACCAAGGCAACGAUGCGUAGCCGACCUGAGAGGGUGAUCGGCCACACUGGAACUGAGACACGGUCCAGACUCCUACGGGAGGCAGCAGUAGGGAAUCUUCCGCAAUGGGCGAAAGCCUGACGGAGCAACGCCGCGUGAGUGAUGAAGGUCCUCGGAUCGUAAAACUCUGUUAUUAGGGAAGAACAAAUGUGUAAGUAACUAUGCACGUCUUGACGGUACCCAAUCAGAAAGCCACGGCUAACUACGUG
Molecule: ribosomal RNA, 497 nt
Filed under: uncultured bacterium
Lineage: Bacteria
Description: partial 16S ribosomal RNA
Rfam family: Bacterial small subunit ribosomal RNA
Source: RNAcentral